Molecule: long non-coding RNA, 331 nt
Filed under: Anser brachyrhynchus (Pink-footed goose)
Lineage: Eukaryota; Metazoa; Chordata; Aves; Anseriformes; Anatidae
Description: lncRNA (ENSABRG00000017422.1)
Source: RNAcentral
CCUCUUUCCAGUGCAGCUUAACUCUGAGUGUGCUGAAGCUUGAAAUGUAGCUUCCGAUUUAUAAUAGCAACAGGGCAUGCAGCAAAUGUCAACAAAUCCCCUGUCACCCAGGCAAGAAGGAAAUGUGAGAGCACAAGGAUUUAAAGUUGUUGCUGACUUUGUAUUCUGCUGUACCACAACACUUUGUAGAGGAAAAGGAAAGCAAAUGUGCAGAGUUGCCAGGAUACGGAUUUAUUCAGAACUUCAGCAGCCUGGCACUUCUACUGUGAAGUUCCUUCCCCCUUGCCUCACUCCCUCAUGCUCCAGCAGCAGGCAGAUAGACAAGAAAUAG